GCCUAGGAAUCUGCCUGGUAGUGGGGGACAACGUUUCGAAAGGAACGCUAAUACCGCAUACGUCCUACGGGAGAAAGCAGGGGACCUUCGGGCCUUGCGCUAUCAGAUGAGCCUAGGUCGGAUUAGCUAGUUGGUGAGGUAAUGGCUCACCAAGGCGACGAUCCGUAACUGGUCUGAGAGGAUGAUCAGUCACACUGGAACUGAGACACGGUCCAGACUCCUACGGGAGGCAGCAGUGGGGAAUAUUGGACAAUGGGCGAAAGCCUGAUCCAGCCAUGCCGCGUGUGUGAAGAAGGUCUUCGGAUUGUAAAGCACUUUAAGUUGGGAGGAAGGGCAGUAAGUUAAUACCUUGCUGCUUUGACGUUACCGACAGAAUAAGCACCGGCUAACUCUGUGCCAGCAGCCGCGGUAAUACAGAGGGUGCAAGCGUUAAUCGGAAUUACUGGGCGUAAAGCGCGCGUAGGUGGUUCGUUAAGUUGGAUGUGAAAGCCCCGGGCUCAACCUGGGAACUGCAUC
Molecule: ribosomal RNA, 516 nt
Filed under: Pseudomonas taiwanensis
Lineage: Bacteria; Pseudomonadati; Pseudomonadota; Gammaproteobacteria; Pseudomonadales; Pseudomonadaceae
Description: bacterial SSU rRNA
Rfam family: Bacterial small subunit ribosomal RNA
Source: RNAcentral